RNAcentral lists this unclassified non-coding RNA (22 nucleotides) under Mus musculus (house mouse). RNAcentral describes it as "oocyte_clustered_small_RNA2154". The record is from RNAcentral. Lineage: Eukaryota; Metazoa; Chordata; Mammalia; Rodentia; Muridae.
UAGAGAACCUCUGAGGAUCCCA